This is a long non-coding RNA of Haliotis rufescens (red abalone), 123 nucleotides long. RefSeq lists it as uncharacterized. The record is from RefSeq and is a predicted model, not a curated record. The transcript has 2 exons. Lineage: Eukaryota; Metazoa; Mollusca; Gastropoda; Lepetellida; Haliotidae.
AAAAUACCCCACACAGAAACACUAUUAACCAUAAGCGAUGGCGGGAUACCACAGGCGGCCCAGAAUCCGGCAUCUGAAUAAUGCGAUGUGCAUGCAUUACAAGAAAUAAAUGUUGUAUAUUUA